ACCCUCGUCGGAGACGGAACGGUACGCGUGAGUCUCAUAAGGCGGAGGCAGGAAGGGGAGAUCGUCAGAACAGCGCCGCUUGAGUUUGAGUUCCAUGAGUACGAAACAAACUCAGCGCGGACCCGUCCAGCAAGAAAAGAUCGGUGCCGCCGGCGCUGCCCCAGCGAAGAUGGUAGUUCUUCCCCUCAUAGGCAGGAUCGCGGUGCGUCGCCAGCGCCCCUGGUGCGUGUGGCAGUCGGAUGACGACCUAAAAUACGAGAGUCUUGAAGAAUGCUGCAGGCAUUUGGAAGGCUUAGCUGCCGAACGCCAGCUUGUGCUGAAAGGCCUAGAGCUGUACAACGCUCUGCAUCCGGGCGAUGAGUAUGAACUUGCUCCUGGUAAGGUGACCAGGAGCAGCCAACUUGGUGAUGGGUGUUGCUGGAGUCAUGGCAACAUUGUGGCUCGUCGGAAGCGCUCUGGCUGCUUCUCUUUCCUGCCGGUUCCACGAACUCUCUUUUUCUUUGAGCACGUCUCUAGAGCUGAUUUCGAAGGAGUUGUCACAUGCAUUCCUUUAGGCUGAUCUGAGGGCAUGAUCUGAGGACCUCUAAAACCUCGCAACCAAACUCAUGGUGAACAUCUGAGGCGCGCAUAGUUGAUCUUCCGAGGAACAAGUAUUCAUACAAGCACGAGCAAGAACACCGAUAUUUGUUAACGAGGUUCAUCAAACAUCGGCUACAUCUCCGGAUGAACCAGUGACUGAAGCCUACACCUUUCUUGGUUUCCGUCUUGGGUGGGGUACUCGUCGUCUUGGUGGCUCGGAUUGCGUUUGCAAGACAUGCUACUGUCUCUUUAAUAUCCCGCACCCUUGUUUAAAGAGGACAUGUACAUGUGGAGAUAGCAGGGUGGAGAAAAUAUGUGAAAUGUGUUACAUUCGUAGUGGUGUGCUGCAUCCAUUCAGAGGAGAAUUCCAGUUUGGCUAUCACAAAUAGGGUUACCCCUACUGCUCACAUACGAUGCUAAGCUAGACUUGGUGAGUUGGUGGUGGAGCAAUAUGUGUGUUCGAAUGUUCAAUGUGUAUGAUUCGUCUUUACACCACUCUUGGCAAUCUUAUGUACUUGAGAACUUUGGCAAUCAUAUAAGUACGCCGUCUCUUCUUCUUUUUUGCGAAUAAAAGUCUGAUAAU
Molecule: RNA transcript, 1162 nt
Organism: Triticum dicoccoides
Lineage: Eukaryota; Viridiplantae; Streptophyta; Magnoliopsida; Poales; Poaceae
Exons: 6
Source: RefSeq, a predicted model, not a curated record